Molecule: non-coding RNA, 635 nt
Organism: Misgurnus anguillicaudatus (oriental weatherfish)
Lineage: Eukaryota; Metazoa; Chordata; Actinopteri; Cypriniformes; Cobitidae
Source: RefSeq, a predicted model, not a curated record
CCGAGGCAUAAGCGAACCAAGCGGCUGCUUAGGGCCCCGCUGGCCACCAGGGGGCCCCCGCCCCAAUCGUUUUUUAAAUAUUUUUUUAUACAAUUAAAUAACUUAAACAGACAACUAUGUGUCUGCAGUGCUAGCGUUUUAGUCAGGCGCAACAUAGACACCUGCGCCACCUGCGCGUCGGUGCGCAAGUGCACGACGUCGUCACUCACUGUAAACAAUGAUGAGCCAUUUGACAUGUCACAAAAAAGGAUAUAUCCCUCUGGGGCCGAAAAGAGAACAAAGAAAAGGACCGAGGAUGAGAAAAAAAGAGCAAGAUAAAGGAACACUGUUGAAGUACUUUGGAGCACAACCAACUCUACCCGCCCCUGAUGUGUCAUCAAGUGUCAGUGCCUCCACAGCUAAUGAUGCAGCAGAUGAGGUUUUUCUUGUUGGCCAAUGUUAACAUUCCAUAGCCUGUUAAAAUGACAUGACACAUUGAAGAAUAAAGUAUUUUAUUUAAGUAUAGAUUUUUUUCAUUAUUUAACCUCACUGUAUUCAUUUAUAAUGUAACAUUAGAGCGUGACAUUUGUGUCCGCGUGGUGGGAGGGGGGCCCCCAAACACAUUCUGCUUAGGGCCCCCAAGAGGCUCAGGCCGG